This 290-nucleotide long non-coding RNA is filed under the name Mytilus galloprovincialis (Mediterranean mussel). Lineage: Eukaryota; Metazoa; Mollusca; Bivalvia; Mytilida; Mytilidae. The record is from RNAcentral.
GGCGGCAUUUUGAAGAACAAACCAAAACCAGUCACACAGAAACAUUUUGAAUAUUUAUGCGAUUUACAUGUAUUAUAAUUGUCGCCUUUAAUUUUUCCGUAUAUCUUGUUCAUUCGUUUUAUCCGGUACGCUUCCGUUAUGUGUCCGUUUUAUGCGGUAUUCGUCCGUUGGAUGUACGUUCGACAUCCGUUCUGUCCGGUAUGUUUCCGUUUCUCGUACGUUGCAUAUCCGGUGUGUGUCCGUUACGCAUUCGUUACACAUCCGUUUUAUUCGGUCAGUACAUCAACGGA